AUUGAACGCUGGCGGCAUGCCUUACACAUGCAAGUCGAACGGCAGCACGGGAGCAAUCCUGGUGGCGAGUGGCGAACGGGUGAGUAAUACAUCGGAACGUGCCCAAUCGUGGGGAUAACUACGCGAAAGCGUAGCUAAUACCGCAUACGAUCUACGGAUGAAAGCAGGGGAUCGCAAGACCUUGCGCGAAUGGAGCGGCCGAUGGCAGAUUAGGAGUUGGUGAGGUAAAGGCUCACCAAGCCUUCGAUCUGUAGCUGGUCUGAGAGGACGACCAGCCACACUGGGACUGAGACACGGCCCAG
RNAcentral lists this ribosomal RNA (302 nucleotides) under uncultured bacterium. RNAcentral's name for it is "bacterial SSU rRNA". It matches the Rfam family "Bacterial small subunit ribosomal RNA", at positions 30 to 334 of the family's 1533-position model. The record is from RNAcentral.